GUGUUGGUGGUUCAGUGGUAGAAUUCUUGCUUUCCAUAUGGGAGAUCUGGGUUCAAUUCCUGGCCAGUGCA
This 71-nucleotide transfer RNA is filed under the name Loxodonta africana (African savanna elephant). It matches the Rfam family "tRNA". From Rfam's summary of the family: Transfer RNA (tRNA) molecules are approximately 80 nucleotides in length. The record is from Rfam by way of RNAcentral. Lineage: Eukaryota; Metazoa; Chordata; Mammalia; Proboscidea; Elephantidae.